This is a long non-coding RNA of Mauremys reevesii (Reeves's turtle), 297 nucleotides long. RefSeq lists it as uncharacterized. The transcript has 3 exons. NCBI's taxonomy places the organism in Eukaryota, Metazoa, Chordata, Testudines, Geoemydidae. The record is from RefSeq and is a predicted model, not a curated record.
GAUGGAGCUGGAAUUGGUCUGGCACUUCUUAUUGCUACCCAUAACCUAGGGCCAAUUGAUGUUCUCAACAGAGAAUUGCUCUAACACAAAAUUUGGGCUAGAAAGCAGCCCAUUUCUGGGUGCAGGAAAAAAGUACUGACAUCGGCUCUGAUAAACAGAAGUUUCAGGCUCAAGAAAAAAAAAUUAGAAGAAUGAGGAAAGAAAAGAGAGAGCAACAAGAUAAUGGUUCAGUCAAUGGUUGGACUGGAGAAGCCUGCAGAGCUGAAAUCACAGCUGAAUCUAUAGUUUAAAGGCAGC